ACGGAAGGCAGCAGUAGGGAAUAUCGCACAAUGGGGGGAACCCUGAUGCAGCAACGCCACGUGUGGGAAGAAGCAUUUCGGUGUGUAAACCACUGUCGUGAGGGAAUAAUGCUUGAUUUCGGUCAAGUUGAAUGUACCUCGAAAGGAAGCACCGGCAAACUUCGUGCCAGCAGCCGCGGUAAUACGAGGGGUGCAAGCGUUGUUCGGAAUCACUGGGCGUAAAGGGAGCGUAGGCGGAGACGCAAGCAGUCUGUACAAUACCGGGGCCCAACCCCGGACCUGCAGACUGGACUGUGUCUCUUGGAUAGUUCAGGGGCAGGCGGAAUUCCUGGUGUAGCGGUGGAAUGCGUAGAGAUCAGGAAGAACACCGAUGGCGAAGGCAGCUUACCAGCAUACAACUGACGCUGAGGCACGAAAGUGCGGGGAUCAAACAGGAUUAGAUACCCUGGUA
Molecule: ribosomal RNA, 451 nt
Filed under: uncultured Fibrobacter sp.
Lineage: Bacteria; Pseudomonadati; Fibrobacterota; Fibrobacteria; Fibrobacterales; Fibrobacteraceae
Description: bacterial SSU rRNA
Rfam family: Bacterial small subunit ribosomal RNA
Source: RNAcentral